UACGUAGGGCGCAAGCGUUGUCCGGAAUUAUUGGGCGUAAAGAGCUCGUAGGCGGUUUGUCGCGUCUGCUGUGAAAACUCGAGGCUCAACCUCGGGCUUGCAGUGGGUACGGGCAGACUAGAGUGCGGUAGGGGAGACUGGAAUUCCUGGUGUAGCGGUGGAAUGCGCAGAUAUCAGGAGGAACACCCGAUGGCGAAGGCAGGUCUCUGGGCC
RNAcentral lists this ribosomal RNA (213 nucleotides) under uncultured bacterium. RNAcentral describes it as "partial 16S ribosomal RNA". It matches the Rfam family "Bacterial small subunit ribosomal RNA", at positions 524 to 735 of the family's 1533-position model. The record is from RNAcentral.